This 524-nucleotide ribosomal RNA is filed under the name Fusarium graminearum. RNAcentral describes it as "eukaryotic LSU rRNA". The stretch from base 169 to 322 matches the Rfam family "5.8S ribosomal RNA". Lineage: Eukaryota; Fungi; Ascomycota; Sordariomycetes; Hypocreales; Nectriaceae. The record is from RNAcentral.
GACCUGCGGAGGGAUCAUUACCGAGUUUACAACUCCCAAACCCCUGUGAACAUACCUUAUGUUGCCUCGGCGGAUCAGCCCGCGCCCCGUAAAAAGGGACGGCCCGCCGCAGGAACCCUAAACUCUGUUUUUAGUGGAACUUCUGAGUAUAAAAAACAAAUAAAUCAAAACUUUCAACAACGGAUCUCUUGGUUCUGGCAUCGAUGAAGAACGCAGCAAAAUGCGAUAAGUAAUGUGAAUUGCAGAAUUCAGUGAAUCAUCGAAUCUUUGAACGCACAUUGCGCCCGCCAGUAUUCUGGCGGGCAUGCCUGUUCGAGCGUCAUUUCAACCCUCAAGCCCAGCUUGGUGUUGGGAGCUGCAGUCCUGCUGCACUCCCCAAAUACAUUGGCGGUCACGUCGAGCUUCCAUAGCGUAGUAAUUUACACAUCGUUACUGGUAAUCGUCGCGGCCACGCCGUUAAACCCCAACUUCUGAAUGUUGACCUCGGAUCAGGUAGGAAUACCCGCUGAACUUAAGCAUAUCAA